UAAGCCAUGCGAGUCGACACAGCAAUGUGUGGCAUACGGCUCAGUAACACGUAGUCAACAUGCCCAGGGGACGUGGAUAACCUCGGGAAACUGAGGAUAAACCGCGAUAGGUCACUACUUCUGGAAUGGGUAAUGACCCAAACCUAUAUGGCCCCUGGAUUGGACUGUGGCCGAUCAGGCUGUUGGUGAGGUAAUGGCCCACCAAACCUGUAACCGGUACGGGCUCUGAGAGGAGGAGCCCGGAGAUGGCCACUGAGACAAGGGCCCAGGCCCUAUGGGGCGCAGCAGGCGCGAAACCUCUGCAAUAGGCGAAAGCUUGACAGGGUUACUCUGAGUGAUUUCCGUUAAGGAGAUCUUUUGGCACCUCUAAAAAUGGUGCAGAAUAAGGGGUGGGCAAGUCUGGUGUCAGCCGCCGCGGUAAUACCAGCACCCCGAGUGGUCGGGACGUUUAUUGGGCCUAAAGCAUCCGUAGCCGGUUCUACAAGUCUUCCGUUAAAUCCACCUGCUUAACAGAUGGGCUGCGGAAGAUACUAUGGAGCUAGGAGGCGGGAGAGGCAAGCGGUACUCGAUGGGUAGGGGUAAAAUCCGUUGAUCCAUUGAAGACCACCAGUGGCGAAGGCGGCUUGCCAGAACGCGCUCGACGGUGAGGGAUGAAAGCUGGGGGAGCAAACCGGAUUAGAUACCCGGGUAGUCCCAGCUGUAAACGAUGCGGACUCGGUGAUGA
This 724-nucleotide ribosomal RNA is filed under the name uncultured archaeon. RNAcentral describes it as "bacterial SSU rRNA". It matches the Rfam family "Archaeal small subunit ribosomal RNA", at positions 45 to 777 of the family's 1478-position model. The record is from RNAcentral.